CCUUCUCUGCGUGUCCGACUUACAGUGAAGCACAGCACCAGAUUAGGGCUGUUCUCCUAUCUCUUUUUGCUUCUCUCCUUUUCCAACUUUCUACAGAUGAUUUUAAACCAUAAGCCACCCAAGGGAGGGCGCUGCCAGGAGGAGACCGCAUGCGGCGCCGGGGACCCACCUGGUCGAACUUCUUCUGCUUCUUCUCCAGGUUGGAGGCGAUCUGGCGCUGGUGAUCCAGGUCCACCGUCAGGUCGUCGAGCUCCUGCUGCAGGCGGUUCUUGGUCUUCUCCAGCUUGUCGUAGGCCAGGGCCUUCUCCUCCAGGCGCUGGCCCAACGCCUCCGCAUCUUUCAGAAGCUUCUUUCUGGCUUCUUCCAAACUCUCGAUUGUUCCUAAGUCGUCAUCUACUUUCUUCUUGGUGUCCGUGAGCUAGGUUUUACGGGAAGAGAGAUGCGCGUCAAACAACCCCGUUGAUGCUUACAGACUUGAAAGUUUUCAAAGGCACGCAGAGGGCUUUCUGUGCUGACCAGGAUACGCCUCGUCACCACCAACAGCCUCUGGAGAGCCCACGCGUCCGCGGCCCUGGCAACAGCGUGGUGGUGAAGAGCUCUGGACUCGACAGAGACCUCGCCUUCAGCUCGGGCUCCGGGAGCUGCCAGGGGAGUCACCAGAGGCCAGCGCCCUCCUCCGCUUCUUUGAGGCGCCCAGACUCACCCAGGGGGCGCGGUGUGCGGAUCGAAGGGGAGACCACCCCCAGGAGCCGGACGUAGGCUCAGCUCGCCCCCCCGCCACACAGGGCGUUCUGUAAGGCCAGAGCCGAGAGAAGCUCUUCAACGCCCACGAACGGUGCGCCGGACGAACAAAUUCAAACUACAAACCGACUGAAGUCGAAAACCAGCCAUUUGACUCAAAAGCAGGUCAUCGCACAGCCGUUAGCAUCAAAUCGAAGGCGAGAGAAGUCAGUGGGAGGAUGGAAUUUCGGGGAAGAUAUUGGGGGGGCGGUUCUUAAGGAUGUCCCUUUGUGGGAAGUGACCCGGACCCUCUCACGCUGCAUCCAUCGCCGGGCCCACGUUUGCGGACUGCCCGUCACCCCCACGCCCCCUCCCCGGGGUGCAAGCAGGACCGCAGCUCCCAGGCACUAGGGGGAGGGGACGGAGUGCAGGCAGAGGGUCCUGUGAUUGCGGCCCUCCCCGCCACAGCUCCCCAGGGACUCCUCAACCACGCCGGGGAUCCCUCCCGCCCCACGGCGGUCCUCCGACCGGCCGACACAGGCUGAUCACACGGGUGCGAAGAGCAGGUGCGUGCACCCUGGGUCCUCCCCUAGCAGAAGAACCCCGCUCCGGCAAGAUCGGCUUAUGAUGACUCCUCACCCCGGCAUCCUCCCUCGUCUAUACUCAACGACAAGGCAACAAAACCCUGGGCAGGGGUUUAAACGACCGCUCGCUUUCCAGCCACUAAGAAAGCAGAGUGUUGAGAAGGUGCAGUCGGGGCCCGGGGCCCUCCUCCUGCAGUGUAGACGCCAGGGUCUGGCCCGGGGAGCGACCUUAACUACAAUCAAAGGAGCGAAAGCCCGUCGUGAACGCUUGCAGGCGAGGCAGGACACGGUAACUGCAAACAGUCAGAACUGGAUCCAAACGGAUCAACCGGCGUGCGCGUCUUCCGUCAGUUACUGCUCUGUCGGGGGUACGGAAACACCCGCGGGGGCCCGGCCUCCGUUUCUCCAACCCCAAACACUGACCUUCUAGAUCCGAGAUCAUCACUUCCUGCUUAUUCCUGAUUUUGGCCAAGUUUUUGGCCUUUUCUUCCUCCUCAGCCAGCUGAGAGGAGCACUCCGCGAUGCGGUCUUCCAUGAGCUUCUUUUCCUGAGGACAAAGAACCGACUGCUUCGGAGAAGGCCUUCCAAAUCCCCCCUCGGGGGCCUGGUCUUGCUCAGAAAACGGGUGCUCGUGCCCCCCCCCAUACCCCCCAGCAGGUCCCACCACUCUGCAGAGGGGGAGCCCUGCGGCUGGUGCAGGGGAUGACGGGGCCUGUGUGGACGGGGCCUGGUCACCGAGCAGGGAUCAGCGCAUGCGAGACGCGCACAUCAAACGUCUGGAGGUGGAUUUAAAUAAUUAAACAGUUCUUGUCUUUAGAAAUCUAUACACGUAGAGCCUUAGAAGAGAAAAGUACGUAAAUGAACCCGAAUUCUUGAGAAUUUCCCGCCGGAUGCCCCUUCCAGUGAGCGCAUCCACUUUGUAACGGAAAUACUCUCUUACUUUGAUAAAUUUGGAGUUCUGGUCCUCGAGAAGCAGGAUCUCCUCUUCCAUCUUCUUGAUUUUAGCCUCUGCCGUCACCUUUUCCAGCUGGAGUUUUUGGCGAGCGCCUUCCUCCUCGUCCAGUUGCUCUUCCAAGUCCUUGGGAAGCAGAAAACACAGUCAGCGCCCACCGGCCGCACAACGUCCUGCCGCGCUAACCACUGGAGGUGCGCAUGCUAACAUCAAACACCGAUUUUUGGUUUUCAAAAGGGAAAGGACAUCCUGAGGCGUCACGGCGUGAGCCCACCACCACGCGGGUGGGAUCCCAGGGUCUACAGCCGAUACGGACACACACACUUCGAUUUCCCACCCUGCCUCGCUGUCUGUAGUAAACAGACGCAACCGAACAGGGUUCUACAUACAGAUCAACGAACGGCCCAUUUCAGAAAUUUACCCUGGUUGAUUCUGGAACGAGACCCGUGUAAAAAUGAUGAACACGUUACUACGAAAAGCCUCCAAGACACGCCGGAGCGCACGGCAGCAUGCGGAACCCGGCACAGACGCGGCCCAUGGGCUCUCCCCCCGCCCCCAUGUGCC
Non-coding RNA from Leptonychotes weddellii (Weddell seal), 2820 nucleotides. Lineage: Eukaryota; Metazoa; Chordata; Mammalia; Carnivora; Phocidae. The record is from RefSeq and is a predicted model, not a curated record.